AGUCGUACGAGAGUUUUAAACUCAAGUGGCGGACGGGUGAGUAACACGUAAGAAUUUACCUUUAGGAGGGGGACAACAGCUGGAAACGGUUGCUAAUACCCCAUAUGCUUUCGAGUGAAAUGGAUUUUUCCGCCUAGAGAGAAGCUUGCGGCUGAUUAGCUUGUUGGUAAGGUAAUGGCUUACCAAGGCGACGAUCAGUAUCUGGUUUGAGAGGACGAUCAGACACACUGGAACUGAGACACGGUCCAGACUCCUACGGGAGGCAGCAGUGGGGAAUUUUCCGCAAUGGGCGCAAGCCUGACGGAGCAAUCUCGCGUGAGGGAUGACUGCCUAUGGGUUGUAAACCUCUUUUUUCAGGGAGGAAUAAAAUGACGUGUACCUGAAGAAUAAGCAUCGGCUAACUCCGUGCCAGCAGCCGCGGUAAGA
Molecule: ribosomal RNA, 426 nt
Filed under: uncultured phototrophic eukaryote
Lineage: Eukaryota
Description: bacterial SSU rRNA
Rfam family: Bacterial small subunit ribosomal RNA
Source: RNAcentral